RNAcentral lists this ribosomal RNA (433 nucleotides) under uncultured bacterium. Its description in RNAcentral is "partial 16S ribosomal RNA". It matches the Rfam family "Bacterial small subunit ribosomal RNA", at positions 29 to 507 of the family's 1533-position model. The record is from RNAcentral.
AGCGAACGCUGGCGGCAGGCUUAACACAUGCAAGUCGAGCGGGCACUUCGGUGUCAGCGGCAGACGGGUGAGUAACACGUGGGAACGUACCCUUCGGUUCGGAAUAACGCUGGGAAACUAGCGCUAAUACCGGAUACGCCCUUUUGGGGAAAGGUUUACUGCCGAAGGAUCGGCCCGCGUCUGAUUAGCUAGUUGGUGGGGUAAUGGCCUACCAAGGCGACGAUCAGUAGCUGGUCUGAGAGGAUGAUCAGCCACACUGGGACUGAGACACGGCCCAGACUCCUACGGGAGGCAGCAGUGGGGAAUAUUGGACAAUGGGCGCAAGCCUGAUCCAGCCAUGCCGCGUGAGUGAUGAAGGCCUUAGGGUUGUAAAGCUCUUUUGUCCGGGACGAUAAUGACGGUACCGGAAGAAUAAGCCCCAGCUAACUUCGUG